AUUUUCAUAGCUUACCGAGAGCACAACACUGAAGAUGUUGGGGCGGAUUAUUCCUGGAAAUA
Molecule: transfer RNA, 62 nt
Filed under: Artemia parthenogenetic lineage
Lineage: Eukaryota; Metazoa; Arthropoda; Branchiopoda; Anostraca; Artemiidae
Also listed under: 1 other name
Description: Artemia parthenogenetica tRNA-Phe
Source: RNAcentral